UAGGGAAUCUUCGGCAAUGGGGGGAACCCUGACCGAGCAACGCCGCGUGAGUGAAGAAGGUUUUCGGACCGUAAAGCCCUGUUGUUAAGGAAGAACGAGUGUGAGAAUGGAAAGUUCAUGCUGUGACGGUACUUAACCAGAAAGGGACGGCUAACUACGUGCCAGCAGCCGCGGUAAUACGUAGGUCCCGAGCGUUGUCCGGAUUUAUUGGGCGUAAAGCGAGCGCAGGCGGUUAGAUAAGUCUGAAGUUAAAGGCAGUGGCUCAACCAUUGUAGGCUUUGAAAACUUUUUAACUUGAGUGCAGAAGGGGAGAGUAGAAUUCCAUGUGUAGCGGUGAAAUGCGUAGAUAUAUGGAGAAACACCGGUGGCGAAAGCGGCUCUCUGGUCUGUAACGGACGCUGAGGCUCGAAAGCGUGGGGAGCGAACAGG
This 429-nucleotide ribosomal RNA is filed under the name Bacteroidota bacterium. RNAcentral's name for it is "Bacteroidetes bacterium partial 16S ribosomal RNA". It matches the Rfam family "Bacterial small subunit ribosomal RNA", at positions 355 to 776 of the family's 1533-position model. The record is from RNAcentral. Lineage: Bacteria; Pseudomonadati; Bacteroidota.